CAAAUAUGCCAUGCUAAAAGAUUUCAUUGACUGAUCUUCAGUGUCAGCUAUCAGACACCCAACAAUGAAGAAAUUUAUCUUCUUGCAGAUUGUAUUCUAUUAAAAUAGAACAGCAACUAACGCCUACCUCAUUCCUUUUUUCUCCUCUCAUGUUCUACUUUACUAGUGUUAACCUUUGCAGAGUAGCCUUAGCAAUGGAUUCCUGGAAGAAGCUUUAGCUGUGCUAGGGUAGACUAACAAUAGGUUAAACAGUCAAGGUUACUGUUCUUCUUUUUUCAUCUGGAUCUUUCCUGGAUUUAAAUAUCCUAUAGAAAGCUGAAACAGAUUGUAAGAAUGUCAAGUUGAUACAAUUAGGCUAUCAAUCAAAACAUUUGCUUGGGAAUUCUGUGUCUCUUGACUUGAACAAUCAGAAUGUUUUGUUGGAUUUUCUUUUCUGACUUGUGUAUUAAUAACAUGUAAGAGUACAAGACUUUUGAACAACAAAGCAUUUGAUGCAACAUUGAAAUUUUUCUUUUUGGCAAUUUUUUCUUGAUCUACAGAUACUGAGGGAGAUAAUUUGCGGGAUGACGUAUCUGAGAAGUUUGAGAAUAGGGAAGCAUUGAUUUCUGCUGUGCCUAGCUUUGAGGAGCCUUACAUCAAAGUUCCCAAAGUGUUGAAUAAGGAGUAAUAUUAUUUAGGUAAUAUUUCAUUUUACUUUCACGCAAAGUUUGUUGAUGUAUUUUGAUUAGAAGAAAGACUAGAAUUCAUCACUCCAAAAUCUUUUCCCAGAUGUAUUUAGAUGCAGAUGAACUUUUUUUUUUUCAUGUUUAAUAGUUAAGUCUCUUACUGCUGUUAUCUCUAUUCAAUUGCUCUAUUGCUCAUCGAAAAAGUUCACAAGUA
This is a non-coding RNA of Nicotiana tabacum (common tobacco), 879 nucleotides long. Lineage: Eukaryota; Viridiplantae; Streptophyta; Magnoliopsida; Solanales; Solanaceae. The record is from RefSeq and is a predicted model, not a curated record.